GAUGAACGCUGGCGGCGUGCCUAAUACAUGCAAGUCGAGCGAACAGAUGAGGAGCUUGCUCCUCUGACGUUAGCGGUGGACGGGUGAGUAACACGUGGAUAACCUACCUAUAAGACUGGGAUAACUUCGGGAAACCGGAGCUAAUACCGGAUAAUAUAUUGAACCGCAUGGUUCAAUAGUGAAAGACGGUUUUGCUGUCACUUAUAGAUGGAUCCGCGCCGCAUUAGCUAGUUGGUAAGGUAACGGCUUACCAAGGCGACGAUGCGUAGCCGACCUGAGAGGGUGAUCGGCCACACUGGAACUGAGACACGGUCCAGACUCCUACGGGAGGCAGCAGUAGGGAAUCUUCCGCAAUGGGCGAAAGCCUGACGGAGCAACGCCGCGUGAGUGAUGAAGGUCCUCGGAUCGUAAAACUCUGUUAUUAGGGAAGAACAAAUGUGUAAGUAACUAUGCACGUCUUGACGGUACCUAAUCAGAAAGCCACGGCUAACUACGUG
This 497-nucleotide ribosomal RNA is filed under the name uncultured bacterium. RNAcentral describes it as "partial 16S ribosomal RNA". It matches the Rfam family "Bacterial small subunit ribosomal RNA", at positions 28 to 507 of the family's 1533-position model. The record is from RNAcentral.